AUUUAUUCUAUGUGUUUGUAAAGUCGGAAGAAAGUUCGGAAGUCGGAAGUCCGACUUCCGAACUUUAAUUUAGUGCUGGCGCCACAAUAAUGAAUUUAAAGCGACUUUUCCCACGAUUCAAUCCCAUUUGAAAAUAUGGUUGUUAGUAGUUAGUGACACAGAAAUUAUGUACUUCCGUCGUUUGAUUAUUGACAUACAUUUUCGCUCUUUUUCGAAAUUUUACCGAAAAGUAAAUCCGUAGAAUCUAUGGAUUUACCCGAAAUAGUUCUGGCAUCUCUGACUAGAACAUAACUUUAUACAUAUGUCACAUAAACAGUAGUUUUGGUCUGUUUUUCAUGUUUGUAGCUGUCGUUGAUCGACAAAAAAUCACAUUAAAAGUCAGUUAGUAAUAACCUUUAUCUCGGGAUCUAAAAUCAAACGCAGGACUUGCUGCUAAAUCGGUAGAAAAUGGCUGUGAAGUGCUAGUUAAAUUCAUUAAAUUGUAAAAAGAAAUGGCAAAAGGCUGCUAAAUGCUAUUGGUGAAACAUCGCUGGAGUGAUUCAAUAAAAUUAAAAAAUUAAGUCGUAUGAGGAAUAUUAAAAUAAAGCUGGACUCAAGACACGAUAAUUUAUUUUGAUGCUGACAAAAUCUGUCAUUCGUUUGUUGGGGGUAGCACUGCUGGCGGCAUAAAUGAUAGCUUCUACAGACAAGAAGGAUGCAGAAACGAACCGAACGACGAAUGCAACCAUUUGUAGAUAGCAUGGUGAUGAUUCAAUCAAUUAGCAGUCCAAGAUUAAACGAAAGUGAAGAAGUUAUGAUUUUAUCUGCAAAAAACAAAAAGUCAUCAACUCUCUGUGCGGCUACGAAAAAGUGGAUCGUUCGAUGGCACAGCGUGAAUUAUGUUUGUAAUACCAGCACGGUAUCUGUAACAAAAUCGCUACAUAUGUCGCAACCCGCAAAAUGGUAGUGAGUCAAGAUUGGUUGUAUGAGGGCCGACCAACCAGGUAUCAAAACUGAAACAUUCUACUAGCUCAAAAACAAAUCAUAUUAUAGCGGGUAACUAGCUGGAAUUGAAAUGGUUCGUGCAUAGGUCAAUCGUCAAAAUCAACAUCGCAGAUAACAAAGACAAUCCGGAAAUUAAACUGUCGUCAGAGAAAUGGGGAAAGAGUCCUCUGCAAGGCGGUAAUGAUCAUCCAUCAAGAAUCGUAUCUCCUAACCAACCUGUUACAUCUGCCAACAGUUAUCUUCGUUCGGAACCAUUCCAAUACUUCCGGUAUGAUGAAGACUGAGUUUCUUGUCGCGGGCGAAUAGGCUACUCGCAGUGCGGAUUGUUUCGGAUUCAUCCAGGAUGAUGAAAUAAUCAUAGGCAGUUCCUGUGGCAGGAACAUUUUCAAAAGUUGUAUGCCAAACGUUAUGAUUCCUUCAUGGCCGAGAAAAACUUCACUUGAAAAUUUUUUGUUUGUAUUGAUACUUGAAAUAUAUGGAAUAAAAAUCCGCCAGUUACCAGUAACCCAGUUUAAGUUCGAAUUAUCCGACAAGAAAAAAACAACCGGGUGCGCCCGCGGAUGGUCGCCACAAAAGUGAUAAACUAACAUCGACCAGUUCCAAAAGCAUCAAUCAGCAAACCUCGCAGACAUCCUCCAUCGAUCUUACCAGCGCCCUGGAGGCAUCGACUCGCAUAGAUUUGGCUGAAGGUUUGUAAAUCGCAAUAUGGAAGAGUCACAACGGUGACCACAAACAAGCAUAUGCAACGGAUGCUCCAAACGCAUUUUUUCUC
Molecule: long non-coding RNA, 1756 nt
Organism: Wyeomyia smithii (pitcher-plant mosquito)
Lineage: Eukaryota; Metazoa; Arthropoda; Insecta; Diptera; Culicidae
Exons: 3
Source: RefSeq, a predicted model, not a curated record